Saccostrea cuccullata (small rock oyster) is the source of this 2504-nucleotide long non-coding RNA. RefSeq lists it as uncharacterized. NCBI's taxonomy places the organism in Eukaryota, Metazoa, Mollusca, Bivalvia, Ostreida, Ostreidae. The record is from RefSeq and is a predicted model, not a curated record. The transcript has 3 exons.
GGUAGCGGGGAGGGAAUUUGUUGUCAAAUCAUAAAGUCUCUGACUCUAUACUUUAAGUACCAGUAAUGAUUUACAUGUAAAGAAAAUGGAAUAUUACGAUAUAGUCAACUACACGGGCCUCUGUUAUUUGCAGACUUUUAGUCAUAGACAUGUUAGUGACCAAGACUUGUGACUCAGAAAAUGAAACGAGAUGAGGAGUAUGAACCCAGCUUUAGAAUAACACUAAGACCAAGUACUAUAGAAUUUAACAGGGCAACAAAUUUUGAUCAUCUUUCUGAUGUAGGUGAUAGUGAUGAAGAUGAGUUCAUGGAUGAUGAGACGAAUCUGGACCCUGGCCUUAUCAGAAAAGCAAAUCAGAAUUACAAAAACCUUACGUCGGACCAGCCUUUCUUGGUGUACCAGCAAUGUCUUAUGCAACUGGUAUCUCUUAUCAGAAUGAAAAGCAUUGGCUUGGGCAAAGGACAUAAUUAACCAUUUCUGGUACACUGCAAGCAUCAGCGAUAUAUAUGAGGAUUUUGUUUAAUUUUGAGAAGCUAUAUCUUCAAAGAAAAAAAAAAUAGAUUUGCGAUGAAAUUUUAUAUCUUAACUCCUUUUAAUUGCCUAAAGAGGGCUUAUUGAUGAUAAGGUCAAAAGGUCAAAGAACAAGUUCAGAAAUUAUAUGUAUUACAUACAAAGUUGAAGUUCUGUGUAACGUUCUGCAAUGAAUUUCAAUAAUUUAAAAAAAACAAACAUAUUAAAACUAAACUUUACAGGCCAAAAGCUGAAAAGUCAGGACUGAUUUUUAAUAUAAAUUCUCCAUUUGCAAUUUUUUUUAGUUUUUCCACCCUCUUUCUUUUUUUUCUCUCGGUGAAGGACACCAGAUCUCUGAUUUAGCUUAUUAAUUGUUUUAAAGUGUCUUAUCUUGAUCAAGUUUUAUUAAUGACAGGGAGUGAUUUAAUUUAAGGUCAGACGAGACGUUCCUCAAUAUCUGUUUUGUAUAUCUUCGUAAUGUAUGAAAAAUAUUCAAAUUUUUAAUAUCAUUCUGAAUUCUAAACCAGUUUCUAAACGUUUUUAAAGAAUCCAACCACUUAAACAUUUGAAAAUGGAAAAUUACUUUUCUUCCCGAAAGGAUUAUAUAAGGAAAACUAUCCCUGGUAUCUUGCAGAAAUGCCUGGUAAGGUACCUUAAAUUUGUGUGAGUAAACAUGUUUAAGUAACAAUACUUCAAUGACAAAAUCUUUGAAAAAAUUAUCUAUUAUUAAGGAACGUCUCGUCUGUCCUUAAGGGAGUUUGGUUUGGAAUUCUCCACCAUGUUUGAGAUGAAUACCAUUGGAUCCUUCCAUCCAGUGAAAAUGCUUCAAAUUGCUGCAACCAUUGUCCACUGACAGAAGAGAGGACCAAGGGAUGGCUCAAGAAAGGCUCGCCAGCUCACGAGGCAUUGAGAUAUGUUGUCAUGGACAAACAGAGAUUGAAUCAAGUUCACUACUAUUUGAAUUGCAGGUAUCAAAGAUCUUUCAACAAGAAGAGCGGCAUAUGGUCUGUUCAUGAGGUUAAAAUGGAAAAGUUAUUUCCAUACAUUCCAGCCUCGGUAGACAAAAUUGAAGAGAGCAGAUUGAAUGAUGAUGAGGGGAUGACAGGGAAUGUCGAUUUGGACCCAGAGGACCCUAGGAGAAUUUCUAGAAUUCUGGUUUCUAUUCCACCACCUCCAACUCAACAACUUGUUCUAGAGAGAAAAUCAAGAUUUCAAGACCAAGACAAAACUUUGGAUUAUAUAUGGGAUAAUUAACUUCUUUUUCUAAAUUUGACAUUGCGUCCGAAUAAAUUUUCCACAACUUUGUAGCUUUAGUGGGCUAGUUCAUAUAGUAUACGUUUUCCGGAUCAGAUGUUGCUUGUCAACUGUCUGUCUGUUAAGUUGACAUGUCACUCAUCUGAAUUACAAUACAGAAUAUAUUGUUUAUAACUUAACCUUUUUACUCACAAUAUUUGGGUCAGGGCAACCAUUUUUUAACAAAGAUUCACUGGAUGUGUCAUUUUUCUUGAACCAAAAGCUUUUUGGGCAAUCUCAGGUUGCAUUUAAAAAAUUUAAACGGAUACUCUUAAAAAUGUGGAGUUUUAUGAACUUGCUCACAGUACCUCUCUUUUUUAUGCACCCAGAUCGAUCCGGGGGAUAUAUUGUUUUUGUCCUGUCUGUCUGUUUGUCUGCAAACUUUAACCUUUGCCUUAACUUUUGAACCAUGAUUGACAAAGACUUAAUAUUUAGUAUGUAUAUUCCGCUUAUUAAGCUCUAUCAAAUGACACCAAGGUCAAUGACCUUGACUGUGACUUAUAAUAUGCUUAAAAUAGCUUUUUCAUACCUUCGCCAUAUUAACUUUUAAACCAUUGAAGAUAGAGACUUCAUAUUUGAUAUGCACACUCCACUAAUUAAGCUUUUUUAAAUGACUUCAAGGUCCAUGACUGUGACCUUGACCUGUAUGCUAAAAAUAGCUUUUUCGUACCUUCGCCAUAACUUUGAAAGCAUGGGAAAUA